GACGAACGCUGGCGGCAUGCCUAACACAUGCAAGUCGAACGGUGACUUCGCGUCUAGUGGCGCGCGGGUGCGUGAGGGGCGAACACCUGCGUAAAGGUUCGGUAUACCUCCCCGUACGGGGUGCUAACACCGGGAAAUGUCUUCGAAUCCAGGAUUUAUCGCCUUUGGCUGGGGACGGGUUGGGGUAGGUAGUUGGUAGGGUAAAAGCCGACCAAGGCGACGAUCCAUAGCUGGACUGAGAGGAUGCUCAGCCACACUGGGACUGAGACACGGCCCAGACUCCUACGGGAGGCAGCAGUGGGGAAUAGUGGACGAUGGGCGAAAGGCUGAUCCAGCAAUGCCGCGUGGGGGAUGAAGGCCUUAGGGGUGGAAAGCCCGCUUACCUGGGAUGAGAAUGACAGGACCGGGAGAAUAAGGUCCGGCUAACCCCGUG
This 433-nucleotide ribosomal RNA is filed under the name uncultured bacterium. Its description in RNAcentral is "partial 16S ribosomal RNA". It matches the Rfam family "Bacterial small subunit ribosomal RNA", at positions 28 to 507 of the family's 1533-position model. The record is from RNAcentral.